This 253-nucleotide ribosomal RNA is filed under the name uncultured bacterium. RNAcentral describes it as "partial 16S ribosomal RNA". It matches the Rfam family "Bacterial small subunit ribosomal RNA", at positions 524 to 776 of the family's 1533-position model. The record is from RNAcentral.
UACAGAGGUCUCAAGCGUUGUUCGGAUUCAUUGGGCGUAAAGGGUGCGUAGGCGGCGCGGUAAGUCGGAUGUGAAAGCUCGGGGCUCAACCCCGAGUCGGCCGUGCGAACUGCUGGGCUCGAGCACUGUAGAGGCAGGCGGAAUUCCGGGUGUAGCGGUGGAAUGCGUAGAGAUCCGGAAGAACACCGGUGGCGAAGGCGGCCUGCUGGGCAGUGGCUGACACUGCGGCGCGACAGCGUGGGGAGCAAACAGG